AAGGGAUUAGUUUAUUUAAAACCACUAAUUUCGACUUAGUAAACUCUGACCACCCCAGAAUCCCUGA
This 67-nucleotide transfer RNA is filed under the name Eremias grammica (Reticulate racerunner). Its description in RNAcentral is "tRNA-Arg". Lineage: Eukaryota; Metazoa; Chordata; Lepidosauria; Squamata; Lacertidae. The record is from RNAcentral.